GAUGAACGCUGGCGGCGUGCUUAACACAUGCAAGUCGAACGGAAAGGCUCCUGCUUGCAGGGGUACUCGAGUGGCGAACGGGUGAGUAACACGUGGGUGAUCUGCCCUGCACUUCGGGAUAAGCCUGGGAAACUGGGUCUAAUACCGGAUAGGACGAUGGUUUGGAUGCCAUUGUGGAAAGUUUUUCGGUGUGGGAUGAGCUCGCGGCCUAUCAGCUUGUUGGUGGGGUAAUGGCCUACCAAGGCGUCGACGGGUAGCCGGCCUGAGAGGGUGUACGGCCACAUUGGGACUGAGAUACGGCCCAGACUCCUACGGGAGGCAGCAGUGGGGAAUAUUGCACAAUGGGCGGAAGCCUGAUGCAGCGACGCCGCGUGGGGGAUGACGGCCUUCGGGUUGUAAACUCCUUUCGCUAGGGACGAAGCGCGAGUGACGGUACCGGGAGAAGAAGCACCGGCUAACUACGUG
This 465-nucleotide ribosomal RNA is filed under the name uncultured bacterium. RNAcentral describes it as "partial 16S ribosomal RNA". It matches the Rfam family "Bacterial small subunit ribosomal RNA", at positions 28 to 507 of the family's 1533-position model. The record is from RNAcentral.